UGAACUUCAAACCUUCGUAUCUCGACAACCGUAACUCCGAUUGAGGUGAAACCAACGCUCACGUCUUCGUCUCGUCGAACUCUUUCCAUUGGUAUCAUUUUCAUUAUGUUUUCACACAGUGAAAAUGACCACUUUGCCCUUGCCCGUAAACAGCCCCCUCCGAGAGAGAACUGUUUCCGGCAAAUCUUUCCGCGAUCGUUCCACACUUUCUCCGGAGUAAUCCUCGACCCCCAGGCAAGCCAACCUCUUAUCAUGAGCCCCAAACUUGCACGUUGACUUUGCUUGCACCUCGCGUGUGUGCUUAGUUGCAGUAGUUUCUUGUCUGUUUCGUCUGCUAUUAUUUCAGUCGUGCUAAAUAGCUUUGUUAUCUGCCUUGCAUGCUUGAAUUUUCAUUAAAUAAAUUGCCAUGCUAGUCUAAUGUUGUUACUGAUAAUAUCAUGCCUCUGUUUAGUUUCAUGUUAGUACUAUCGUUGUUAUGUUGCACUGAUAUGAUUGCUAGUACUUGGUAUUGCCAUCUUUCAUAGGAUAUCACAGGUACUUGAAAUGCUUGAUGUUUUGUUACUGCAUUGGUAGGUUGCAUGUUAGUUGUUGCAUUCCUGUUAAUAAUGCUUGCAUGAUGAUUGAUGAUGGGGAAUUUAAUAAUAUGACUUAAUAACAAACCUCCUCCGUCAUCACUGGGAUAUCAUAGUGCCACUCCAAUCGAGCUUUCUCUAGUGCAACCACGCUUACCUAAUGGGAAGGUCCUAGCUGGGUCUAUUGUCAUGCCUCUCGCCGGUGCCUCCCGCGAGGGAAGGUUAUGGGCGCGCGCUACCCUGAUCAGGUAGGCGGACAUAACGUUGUGUGCUCGUUUUUGUUUUUAUGGUACCUUGUCCCCGUCUGGGACCGUUUUGCCACGACGGUGGCCGUUGGUGUCUUUGGUAGACACGGGGCCACCCAGGACUGAACCCCAAGGGGGUGUUGGUCGGAGUGGCCGGGAGAGCGUCAUGGUAGUAGCUCGGUUUUGUCGGAACGCCGUGUCCGCACGUAUGGGAGUGCGAGGCCAUGGGUUUUGUGGUGUGGGUACAGUGCGCUACCUCUGCAGAGUGUAUUCAAUCUAUCGAUCGCCGCGUCCUCGGUCAUGGGCAAAAGUUCGUAGUAGGUCACACUAUCCGGUCUCAGUAGAAAUGGAGGAUAAACCUUAAAUAACUAAGUGGAUGAAUAAUGUGAAAUAAUGUGAUGACUUGGACUGUGAGACAGUCGUGAGUAAUCACGAUGAUGAGUUGGUAUGAUCACAAGACAAGGUCUCCGUGAGUAUUGAACCAAGUGUGGUUCCGUUGGUGAUCCGUGCAUGAUCAUCGCUUGGUUGCGAGGAAACCCGCUAGUAAGAGAGUCCGAGGGACUCGGUGCACAUUUUGUUUGCAUUGCAUGAGUAGUAAGUCGUUAUUUGCAUUUAAAGAACUAUGGUAGAAUAGUAGAUGAUUGCAUAAAGUUAACAUGUUAUGUUUGCAUCGGAUAUGACUGGUAGUUUAUUUUCAGCAUAGUUUCAUGAUGCCAUGCCAUGCUUUGACUGAAUUUAUGCCAUGCUUUGGUAUGCCAUGUUUUGAUAUGUUAUGCUUUGCCGUAGCCAUGUUAGAAGUAAGUUUGAUAUGCCAUUGCCAUGCUUAGUUUCUGCCAAGAGGUAGGUUGUUUCAUACGCUUGGUUCUUGCGUUGUCAUCUGUUUGUUUGGAUGCUAUGUUUUUGGUUGUCUUGCAAGUACAUUCAAUGUACUGACCUGGCGUGUCAUGCCAGUUUUGUAGGUCGUACCGAAUUGUUCGCUUGAUCCGUCGUGCUAGGCCGUAAUCUUGCCAGUCCUGUGAGUUGUGGAGCCCAGCCUAGAUGAGAUGCUGCCAAACCAAGACUUCCGCCGCCAUUUAAAUAGACUUCCGCUGCCAUCCGUAUAGCCUUAGGGCUAUGCCAGAUAAUAGUAUUCAUCCAUGAUGUAAUCAUAUACGCAUGUAUUUGAUGAAUAUUAUUGUACCUGGAAUGUUG
This 2008-nucleotide long non-coding RNA is filed under the name Triticum aestivum (bread wheat). RNAcentral's name for it is "long non-coding RNA (TAES_LNC009346)". The record is from RNAcentral. Lineage: Eukaryota; Viridiplantae; Streptophyta; Magnoliopsida; Poales; Poaceae.